This is a small nuclear RNA of Piliocolobus tephrosceles (Ugandan red Colobus), 107 nucleotides long. The record is from Ensembl. Lineage: Eukaryota; Metazoa; Chordata; Mammalia; Primates; Cercopithecidae.
GCACUGGCUUCAGUGGUCCAUAUAGUAAAACUGAAACAACUUCGAGAAAAUCAGCAUGGUCCCUGCACAAGGAUCACACACAGAUCUAUGAAGUGUUGCAUAUUUCU